Molecule: long non-coding RNA, 605 nt
Organism: Aegilops tauschii subsp. strangulata
Lineage: Eukaryota; Viridiplantae; Streptophyta; Magnoliopsida; Poales; Poaceae
Source: RefSeq, a predicted model, not a curated record
GCCUCUACUUCACCCGUGACUAGACCCCCCCCCCCCCCUCUCUGUUAACUCCUAGACCAGAUCCAAUCGGCCUGCCCCUCCCAUCCCCUCCACAGCCGGCCACCGUUGCGAGAUCUCCCUCCCAACCAUGACAUGGGUUGCGCGGCCCCCGGCUACACAACCACCGCGGCUGCUCGCGUGCUGGCCGUCGAGCGAGCUGCACCAUGGCGACGAGCCGACGAGCACCGCCUUCUCCUUCCCGUCCUCCGGCUAGAUCCACUCGGUGCCCCUCCGACGAGCUUGACGGCCAUAUCCAUCCCGAGCAGGCGUUGUGGGCUUGCAAAUUUAGUGCGUCUACCUACAGGCCGGUGUGGUGGAUCUUGGAUCAUGUAGAACUCCAGCCAUGCAAUUUUGUUGUCGGUGUCAUGAAUUUUGUAUAAUUUGUUUGUUUCUUUCAGCUCUCCUUUCUACCUACAUAUUUCCGUCUUUUUUAUAGAACUCCAGUGCUACUACGAUGGAUCUUGGAUCUUGUAGAAUGCCGUCACUUGCAACUUUUGUUGCCGGUCGUUCGGUGAUAUGGAUUUGUGCUACAAGCCGUAGACCUCAGAUUUUAUUUUCUGGUCUCA